ACCACACCACAACAAAACCACCGAGACACCGAGCGUCAAACUCGCCACCCAGCCAGCCAGCAAACCACCAGCCGAGAGAGCUAGCUAGCAGGCACCGUCCGUACCCAUGGCUCGCGCUACCGUCGUCUUCGCCAUCGCCGCUCUCCUCUUCGUCGCCAUGGCCGUGGCGCCGCUGGCCGCUGAGGCGAAGGAGUCCGCCGACGCCCCCACCGCCGAUGCGCCGGCCGAUGCCAGCGGGCCGGUGGGUGCCCCUGGCCCCCAGGGCGUCGACGGCCUGUCAGGCAACGAGGACGACGACGACGACUCCACCAACUGAGGCCGACCGGCCGAGCACGUCGUCUGAUAUAUCGUCGGUUCUGAAAACGAAUGGCCCGGUUGAAUUUGGAACAGGACAUGGAAGAAAAAGUGAGAGCAAUGUCAUUUAAUUUGAAGCCAUAUGUAAUAAUGUGUGGUCGUCCGUGGAUAUAUAUGUUCUUUGCUCUCCCUCUUUUUUCUUUCUGUUUGAUUUUCGAUGCGUUAUAUCUUGUUCUUAGCUCCUAAUUGUAACAACUCUUGAUAUCAAGGACUCCAAAUUUUAUCAUUUCUGUGUUUCUGAGCCACUGAGAGUCAUGUGCAUGCCUGGAUCACGAUGUUAGUUUUAGG
This 642-nucleotide long non-coding RNA is filed under the name Sorghum bicolor (sorghum). RNAcentral describes it as "long non-coding RNA (SBIC_LNC003656)". The record is from RNAcentral. Lineage: Eukaryota; Viridiplantae; Streptophyta; Magnoliopsida; Poales; Poaceae.